Molecule: long non-coding RNA, 315 nt
Filed under: Rattus norvegicus (Norway rat)
Lineage: Eukaryota; Metazoa; Chordata; Mammalia; Rodentia; Muridae
Description: long non-coding RNA NONRATT031526
Source: RNAcentral
GAAAAAAUAUUUUUUCCUUUUCACACUAAGCCAUGAUCAGAUUUAUUCAUUUCUAAUGUUGUUUAUUCCUGUUAUAUAAAAAGAUGAACUAUUCUAAGAGACCUAUAAUGUCUCCUUGGGGAAAAAACAACUAAAUUUUGACAUAUGAAAAUUAUCGAAAGAAUAUGCUAUGUGAAAUAUAAGGUAUAAACUCUCCUUUUAUUGGAGAACCUCAGGUUUCUGUUGAAGCACCACUUGUCCCCACUCUAGAAAUGGUGAGAUGUCAAAGAACCGAAGUGGUAAAUGAGGUAUAUUAAGGCCUCUUGCAUUAGCCAA